RNAcentral lists this ribosomal RNA (256 nucleotides) under uncultured archaeon. Its description in RNAcentral is "partial 16S ribosomal RNA". It matches the Rfam family "Bacterial small subunit ribosomal RNA", at positions 521 to 776 of the family's 1533-position model. The record is from RNAcentral.
UAAUACGUAGGGUGCGAGCGUUAAUCGGAAUUACUGGGCGUAAAGCGUGCGCAGGCGGUGCGUUGUGUCGGUGGUGAAAUCCCCGGGCUUAACCUGGGAACUGCCAUCGAAACUGGCGUACUUGAGUGUGGCAGAGGGGGGUGGAAUUCCGCGUGUAGCAGUGAAAUGCGUAGAUAUGCGGAGGAACACCGAUGGCGAAGGCAGCCCCCUGGGCUAACACUGACGCUCAGGCACGAAAGCGUGGGGAGCAAACAGG